AGGAAUCGCUAGUAAUCGCAGGUCAGCAUACUGCGGUGAAUACGUUCCCGGGCCUUGUACACACCGCCCGUCACACCACGAAAGUCAUUCACACCCGAAGCCGGUGAGGUAACCUUACGGAGCCAGCCGUCGAAGGUGGGGGCGAUGAUUGGGGUGAAGUCGUAACAAGGUAGCCGUAUCGGAAGGUGCGGCUGGAUCACCUCCUUUCUAGGGAA
This 215-nucleotide ribosomal RNA is filed under the name Megasphaera stantonii. RNAcentral describes it as "partial 16S ribosomal RNA". It matches the Rfam family "Bacterial small subunit ribosomal RNA", at positions 1327 to 1533 of the family's 1533-position model. The record is from RNAcentral. Lineage: Bacteria; Bacillati; Bacillota; Negativicutes; Veillonellales; Veillonellaceae.